Molecule: long non-coding RNA, 1796 nt
Filed under: Homo sapiens (human)
Lineage: Eukaryota; Metazoa; Chordata; Mammalia; Primates; Hominidae
Description: LHRI_LNC2027.1
Source: RNAcentral
CGAUAAUCCAGGAUAAUCCCCUCAUCUAAAAAUCUGUUACCUUAACCACAUCUGCAAAGUCCCUGUUGCCGUGUAAUGUAAGCUAUUCACAGGUUCUGGGGAUUAGGAAAAGGACAUCUUUGGUGGGGGCCUUAUUCAGCCUACCACAUAGAGAUUAGUACCUGAAAAGCCAGCAGGUGAGAAGCUAGACAGAGCAGCCGGUGGCAGCUAAAGGAGAAAGGGGGCGAGAGCUGGAGAAGUCGCACUUCCGCCGAUGGCGCAGCAAAGGGGAUGUUGCCCUGGAGGACUCAGGGAACGGAACUGGGCUAUCAGCCGAGAAUGGGGCUCCACUCAAAAGGAGGAACCAACAGGAGACACAAGGAACCCCAGCAGGAAGAAGUCGGAGAUGGAGGAGGGGAAGUCAUAGCUGGAGGAGACGUGUGUUAGGAAGCUACAAUGGCAGCUCCCUAGUGGAGGUGUUUCGGAAAAACUCCGAAGAUUCCACUUGAGAAAAUCAUCGGCCUUCAGACAACGUCUAUGCCAGAUAAUGCUACCAAAUCACAACCUUGCCUUUCCUCCCUACUGCUGUUCUGAUGUGGGAGGACCCAAAGGCAGCAGAAGAGCCAAAGAAGAGUAGCAGAAAGGCAUAUCCACAGCUCUUCAAAUAAGCAAUGUGAUGUUAGCAAAAGUGCAGGGGCUCCUUGAGAACUUUCCAGGGCUAACCAGCUGCUGAGGAGUGGCCUCCAGGAAAGAGAGAAGCACUCUGAUUCAGGCAGUGAUUUACACCUAAAAUACCAACUCCAUCAUAUCUUCAGAACAAUUCUUCUAGACCUUGCAUCUAAAUAUGGAGUCAUUAACUAACAACGAACAAAACCUCUGGAUGGCCGAAGGACCUAGGCUAUACAGAAAGCUGUGAAUUACCAAUGAGAACGCAGCUGUACCCACUGUCCAACCAGUCCCAGUGAGAUGAACCAGCUACUACAGUUGGAAAUGCAGAAAUCACCCAUCUUCUUCAUCGAUCACGCUGGGAGCUACAGACCGGAGCUGUUCUUACUUGGCCAUCUUGGAAUGGAUCCUCCAUUCAUGAUUUUAAAGAUAUUUUUCCAUGUCUUCUAGCUUCAUUUUGUCCUAUAGAAACUAGACGUCAUGUUUAUACACUUCUACAUAAUAUGUCUUCUUUCGAUGCUUUUAAGAUUUAUUCUUUGGUUUUCAGCAGUUUGACCAUGAUACAGUUAGUUAUAUUUUUAGUUGCACUUACCCUAUUUGGGAUUUGCGGAGUUUCAUGAAUGUGUGGGUUGCUGUUUUCAAUCAAAUUUAGAAAUUUUUCAUAUAAUAUAGUUGCAAUUUUUUUUCUUGCUCCAUAUUCUCUCUCCUCUCCUUCUUAAAUGUGUGUCAGACCUUUUGAGACAAUUGCACAGCUCACUGGGGGUCUGCUAAGUUAAAAAAAAAAUCUCUUGCUCUCUGUCCUUCAGUUUAGAUGCUUGCUAUUGGCUUUCUUCAUGGACACUACUCCUUUCUUUUGUUGUGUUAAAUGUCCUGUUAAUCCCAGGAAAUGAAUUUUUUAAAGAUUUUCUUUUUCAGUUCUAGGACUUGACUCCCAUUUGUUUCUUUUUACGAUUUACAUAUCAUUUCUGAAAAUUUCCUUUUUUUCACCCAUUAUACCCAUGCUUUCCUAUAAAUUCAUUAACAUAUUUAUCGUAACUAUAUUAAUUUUUGUCAAUGUUAACGUCUGGUUAAUUUCAACAUCUCGUUAUUCUGUAGGUCUCUUUCUACUUCUGUUAUUCUCUGGGGUAUGUGUUACACUUUUCUGUAUCUUU